This 1802-nucleotide long non-coding RNA is filed under the name Equus asinus (donkey). RNAcentral describes it as "lncRNA (ENSEASG00005033392.1)". Lineage: Eukaryota; Metazoa; Chordata; Mammalia; Perissodactyla; Equidae. The record is from RNAcentral.
GUUAGUGAGGAAAGGAAGAUUCCCCUGGGGGCCUCUUCUGUGACCCAUUCCCACCACAGGCCUUUCCUAGAAAUUUGGUAACAAGGGGUGUGGUCAUGGUUGCUAUGGCAACAUGGAAUUAUUACAGUGAUGAUGGGCCCUUGGAGGUGGGGAGAGAGGGGAUUUGUGUUAGUGAAGGAGAAGUUACAUGGUCUGAGCAGGAGGGGCUGCAAGAGAGGCUGGGGCAGCUACAGAGACCCCAGAGACAGACACACAUGGCUGUGGAGUUAAGGGAUGGACAAAAAGACAAGGAGCCUUGAGCCCCAAGAAAGGGAGAGACCACAGGGACAGAUCCAGAGACCCAAGGCAGAAAGAAGGGCAGACAUGUGACAGCACAGAAGUGGGCUGAGACACCCAAUAUGGGAGGGGGAACAAGCCACCUGGCAGAUGCUGGGGACAGGGGAGCAUGGCAGGACUUUCCAAGAGUCAGUGUGGGACCUGGGUCUUAAAAAAGAACCUUGGGUUUCACACUCGGGCCUAUUUUGGGGCUUGUUCCCACACAUUCCCUGUCAGCAGCGGCGGCAGCUCCUGUGGGGUCCAGCCUGGCUCUCCCUGCUGCAGCUGCUACUAGAGCUACAGGGGAGGUUGCUGAGGUAGGGGGAAGAGGCACGCCGUUGCUAAGCAACCAGAGGCUGUGUACCUGGAGGGCAUAGGAGGGGGCCCUGGCACUGAUUACACCAAGGGGAGGCAGGGAGACAGUAAAGGAGCAGGGUGGACAAAGCUCGAGGUUCCCUCUCCCAUCUUCCUCACGACAGUUACAGAGGAGGGAUGGACUCCUCACCCAGUCAGCAUGUUAAUGAUUGUGUUGACUGGAGUUUGACAGAGGGAACCAUCGAUAGGAAAGACUGUAUUCUUUCUCCUCUGCGCCUUGUCACCCAUCCAACCGCAUCUCUAACGGGUCUGAGGACUUGUCAGGAAGCAGCGCAGGCCUUCACUCAUUGUUGACACAGGGCCAUCACCACGCUUCUUCACUUCCCUUAUUGGUGAAGCUCCUAUCCAGAAGGAGCACUUCCGUUCAACAAGUAUUUACUGAGCAGCUAUGAAACUUGCUGGGGGAGUGAUGAGGGAUGGGCCCUGUGGUGCAGAAGGAGUUCCUUCAAGGGCCUCUCCCUCCAGGGAGGUUACUAAUGAGAGGCACUGUGGGGGCCCGGUGGCUGCUUUCACUUGUUUCACAGAGUGGGCUUCCAAGUAAGCUUUCCUCUGAAGAGCUGGGCCACAGCUUAAGUUGUUUGAAACUCCUCUGUGGUCUGUUAUGGAAUAUCCAUGCCAUAGAAUGCCCCACCGCCUUGCAAAGCGGGAAGUGGAUCUGGGCCCACUGAUGCACCAUAGUCUCAGAGACAAAUUGUUCAAUGAAGAAAGGAAGUCUCAGAGCAAUCUAUACAACAGCAGGCCAUUUAUGCAAAUAAGCAGCCUUAGGAGUCACCUAACAUCACUUCUGUCAUACGUGGGCGAGGCAGUCACAGAGGCUGCCCAGGUUGUGGGGUAGUGGACGGAGCCUCCAUCUCAGGCAGCAUGGCAAGGUUUUAGAAGAGCAUGUGGAAUGGGAAAUGUUGUUGUGGCCAUUUUUGGAAAAUACACUCUGCUGUACUACGUUCGUAUACAUGAAUGCAAGCGUACAGAGACAAGGCCUGGAUCUGUACCAGACCGUCAGCAAGGCUUGCCUCUGGGGCAAAUGAGGUACAGAUAUGUUUCACCUUUCCUUCAUAUGUAUUACUUGAAUUUUUUUUUUUUUUUGAGGAAGAUUAGCCCUGAACUAACUACUG